Molecule: long non-coding RNA, 3155 nt
Organism: Oncorhynchus tshawytscha (Chinook salmon)
Lineage: Eukaryota; Metazoa; Chordata; Actinopteri; Salmoniformes; Salmonidae
Source: Ensembl
UUGUGUUAUUAUAUGAUUGUUAGGAUGAACUCUGAACGGCUUCCUUCGUUUCCACACAAGAGAUCUGAAUAAGACGAAAGGUUUAUUUCUUUAAUUACUAUUUCUCUUAUUUUUGUUAUUGUUCAUUCAAAAGCUUAAAAGUUGAGACUGAGAGGGUGGACAGUCCUUCUAUAACAGACAUGUCUUCUAUUUAAAAAUCUACUUGUUUUAAGGGAAAUGUUUUCAUUUUUGUGUGACCGUGAAAGACUGCAAUGGAUUUAUAUUAGAAAUUGCAAACUAAGUUAUAUUUGGUUUAUCUGUAUGGAAAAAUCUAAAAGUUGUUUUAAAAAUCUUGUGAUAUAUUGUGUUGAUUUCUUUAAUUUGAAUUUGAUUGAUUUCUUGUUUUCCUUCAAAAAAGAAAGACACACACAGCUAUCCAAAAAUGGUUGGCGUUUUGAGCAACAAAAAAAACAACAAUAAAAUGGAAUUAUGCUUUUGACUGUUUUUAAAAACGUGGAACAAAAGAAGAAGAAAAAAGAACCCCGACCUGGAUGAAGUUCUGGGUUGAACCUCUCUGUACUGUUACUUGUGUUUCUGAGUGUUUUAACCAAGCUUGUCUUCCUGCCUUCAACCUAAUAUAUACUCUAGCAUCUUAAAAAGUAUUCACUCGUUGUUAUAACUAUUUAUUGUGCUUUUAAGAAAGGAGGAAGCAGAGAACAAGACCAAAGCAGGAAGGGACACAUAAUUUUGCUAUCCAUCCAAAAGGCAUUGAGAUGUCGAUAAUAGCGGCCCAGACCAAAUCUAUUGAGUUAUUGUUAUAUUUCUAUACGUCAUUGUAAAGCAUGAUGUAAUAAGCAGUUGAACCAAUCCAAUCCAAUUGUUCUCCUCUGAAUGAGUCUUUUGGUAAUUAUAUCUUGAUCUGAUUUCUCUUUUCCGUCCUGUGUAUUUUAUUAUUGAACCCCUUCUGCCAUCAGAUCAGGAGAGAGUGCACCAAGGUUUAGGUUAAACUCGGGCCUGUUGAAGAAGGACCAUUUUUCAUAUUUAUUUUUUUUCAUUCAGAAAUGUUUAUCUUGACUUCUAAAUUUGCUUGAAAAAAAACGCUUUUCUUUUAACGUUUUUAUUUUUUUAAACUUUGAUGUUUUUCUGUAAAACAAUUGACAUCAAAAGAACUUCAACCGAAGGUUCACCAUUCUCCCAUCUAUACAUUCAUCUCUAUACAUUCAUCUCUAUACAUUCAGCUCUAAGAUGACGCAGUGAUUAGUAGAGUUUUCUACUAAUACACAGAGGAAUGUCACCUAAGAGGAUCCGUUCAGGCCAGUGGGCUGUGUUCUACUAAACACUACUAAAUAACUCUAUAACAGACGUCAUUACCAAUCAGGGCUUGAAUUCAUGUAUUCUUUUAUUCACGGUCAUUUAAAAGGUCAAACUGAUACUACGGGGGGGGGUCCUGAUCUCUAAGCUGUUGGUCAAAUCACACCAUGCUACACAGCAUCUCUAAGCUGUUGGUCAAAUCCCACCAUGCUACACAGCAUCUCUAAGCUGUUGGUUAAAUCCCACCAUGCUACACAAUAUCUCCAAGCUGUUGGUUAAAUCACACCAUGCUACACAGCAUCUCCAAGCUGUUGGUCAAAUCACACCAUGCUACACAGCAUCUCUAAGCUGUUGGUCAAAUCACACCAUGCUACACAGCAUCUCCAAGCUGUUGGUUAAAUCCCACCAUGCUACACAGCAUCUCCAAGCUGUUGGUUAAAUCCCACCAUGCUACACAGCAUCUCCAAGCUUUUGGUUAAAUCCCACCAUGCUACACAGCAUCUCUAAGCUGUUGGUUAAAUCCCACCAUGCUACACAGCAUCUCUAAGCUGUUGGUCAAAUCCCACCAUGCUACACAGCAUCUCCAAGCUGUUGGUUAAAUCACACCAUGCUACACAGCAUCUCCAAGCUGUUGGUCAAAUCCCACCAUGCUACACAGCAUCUCCAAGCUGUUGGUUAAAUCACACUAUGCUACACAGCAUCUCCAAGCUGUUGGUUAAAUCACACCAUGCUACACAGCAUCUCCAAGCUGUUGGUUAAAUCCCACCAUGCUGCACAGCAUCUCCAAGCUGUUGGUUAAAUCCCACCAUGCUACACAGCAUCUCCAAGCUGUUGGUUAAAUCCCACCAUGCUACACAGCAUCUCCAAGCUUUUGGUUAAAUCCCACCAUGCUACACAGCAUCUCUAAGCUGUUGGUCAAAUCCCACCAUGCUACACAGCAUCUCCAAGCUUUUGGUUAAAUCCCACCAUGCUGCACAGCAUCUCCAAGCUGUUGGUUAAAUCCCACCAUGCUACACAGCAUCUCCAAGCUGUUGGUUAAAUCCCACCAUGCUACACAGCAUCUCCAAGCUUUUGGUUAAAUCACACCAUGCUACACAGCAUCUCCAAGCUUUUGGUUAAAUCACACCAUGCUACACAGCAUCUCCAAGCUGUUGGUUAAAUCCCACCAUGCUACACUAACCCAUCCAACUGUCGACACCAGUAUUGAAACUGACCUUUAAUAAUGAUGUAUCCUAUUAAUUAUCAUGCUUAUUGCAAUAUUUCACCUCUAUAUACUGUACUUAGCAGCAUGCAUGUUGUUGAACAAAGAAGAUGUUGAAAUGCCAAUGGUGAAAUGUGGCCUACCAGCUCAUUGAUGGAUGUCAAUAGUAUUCUCUAUCAUCCGACUUCUUGUUUUCAUGAUUACAUUUUUUUAAAUUUAUAUAAUAAUUGUAAAUAAAAAACUCAAUGUCUUUGCUAAUUUACUACUAUGCAAAAUGUAAUUCUGAUUGUUCCCCACCCGAGUGUGUUUCUGGAAUGUUUGUGAUUAGUUAAAAAAGGGGAGUAAAUUAUUUUCUAGCUUGACGAAAGUUAUGAACUGAGACUCUUGUCGCUGCUUGACUGCCCCGUUACCACGACUCCAAGACAGGAGCAAGGAAAGAUAAUUAAAUAAAUAUCCUGAGCAGCAUGAACCAGAAUGGUGUUAUGACCCGUGUCAUGUGAUGUCUGCGCUGUGUGGUGAUUGGUUCUCUGAAUAAUGUUAUGACCCGUGUCAUGUGAUGUCUGCGCUGUGUGGUGAUUGGUUCUCAGAAUGAUGUUAUGUACUUUGUAUUUACUAUGGAUCUUCCUGGGGUUCAGCAAAAUUAAGGCAGUUAUACAUUUUAAAA